GAGUUUGAUCUUGGCUCAGGACAAACGCUGGCGGCGUGCGUUAAACAUGCAAGUCGAACGGGAUUUCGCCUUCGGGUGGGAUUUAGUGGCGGACGGCUGAGUAGCACGUGGGCGACCUGCCCUUUGGUGGGGAUAGCGGCCGGAAACGGCCGGUAAUACCGCAUGAGCUCUUUGGAGUGGAGUCCAGAGAGGAAAGCCUGUGAGGGCGUCGAAGGAGGGGCUCGCGGCCCAUCAGGUAGUUGGUGAAGUGACGGUUUACCAAGCCGAUGACGGGUGGCUGGUCUGAGAGGAUGGUCGGCCAGACUGGGACUGGGACACGGCCCAGACGCCUACGGGUGGCAGCAGUUAGGGAUCUUGCGCAAUGGCCGAAAGGCUGACGCAGCGACGCCGCGUGAGGGAGGACGGCCCUCGGGUUGUAAACCUCUUUUCUGGGGGACGAGGAUGGACGGUACUCCAGGAAUAAGCACCGGCUAACCCCGUGCCAGCCGCCGCAGUAAC
RNAcentral lists this ribosomal RNA (498 nucleotides) under uncultured bacterium. RNAcentral describes it as "bacterial SSU rRNA". It matches the Rfam family "Bacterial small subunit ribosomal RNA", at positions 9 to 524 of the family's 1533-position model. The record is from RNAcentral.